This is a long non-coding RNA of Sycon ciliatum, 517 nucleotides long. RefSeq lists it as uncharacterized. The transcript is spliced from 4 exons. The record is from RefSeq and is a predicted model, not a curated record. NCBI's taxonomy places the organism in Eukaryota, Metazoa, Porifera, Calcarea, Leucosolenida, Sycettidae.
CGCAAUUGCGCCAAUUUAGCCCUAUAAAGAUCAGUCUAUUCUUAUUGUUCUUUCAUUCAACACCAUUAUGCCUCCACUGAUGAGCUCAGGAGGAGCGAAACAGCUGUCUGGAGGGUCAUUGUCAAUAUGAAUCUAUAUACCGGCAUUGUCCUCGCUAUGGUGAUGGUGAUUUCAGCAGUUGCGGAGGAAGCAGCAUAAUCAGUAGAAGCAUCGUGUUAGGAAUGGUAGUGCAGCUGAGGCCUCCAGCUCUGCAACAUAGGGCGUGAAGCAGUAGCAAAAACAUCUUCUGCACGAGCGAGCCGUUCAGACCAGAGCGACAGCAAACUAUGCAGUGUUCAGCCACUCAAACUCGAAAUGGCGAGGACUCCCCAAGGAUCUCUCUGAAUGAGACACCUUUGUACGUAGGUGUUGAUGAUGACAAGUAUGCGUCAACGGUCGAUGGUUUUGAGCAGAACAGUUUUCCUAUGUUCUUCUCGGAGCAAUGUAGGAUUAAGCAGAGACGUCAGAAACAGCAACA